RNAcentral lists this long non-coding RNA (2169 nucleotides) under Salmo salar (Atlantic salmon). RNAcentral describes it as "lncRNA (ENSSSAG00000108981.1)". Lineage: Eukaryota; Metazoa; Chordata; Actinopteri; Salmoniformes; Salmonidae. The record is from RNAcentral.
AUUUAAAGUGGUGUUUGCUUUACUUGGGCUAUAUGCGGUACUAUGUCAGUUUUGGCAGCACAGUUAGUUUUGUAAGCCCCACCCUGCAACCAGUUAGAGUAGAGCAGCUCCUCUUUUGUGUGAGAGUGUGUCAGACGACGGAUAACUAGAGGUCUCUUUUCUAUCGCUUGGCACUCUGUUGGUAGAGGAUGUGUGCACAGGUCCCCUGUGCUGCGGUACAACUCCGUAUGGUGUAGAGGACCGAGGGGUGCUGUGCUGUAACCAGACCUUGCACCGUGUGGUGGAGGAUGGGUACCAGUGCUCCCCAGGUGGCUACUUGUAUCUGCCAUCCCGUGACAUGGUGUGUGGUUCACACGUUCAUCUCAACGAUCCAGGCAAACACUGCUGUGGAGAGGACACAUACGACCCUCAGUAUGAAAUCUGCUGCAACGGACACAAACACAACAGGUUGAGAAAUGUUUCCUGCUGCGGAGGGAAGGCCUAUUACCACAGCAGUGACCAGAUGAAGUGCUGUGCAGAGACUCUGUACAACCUGCAGGUUCAGGACAGACUCUCAGAGGAGGCCCAGUGCUGUGGGAGUGUCCUGAUGGAGGCUGGCUCCACGCAGACCUGCUGCUCUGCCCCAGGGCUAGACCUGGUCUACCCUACCCAGCCAGGGUUCACCUGCUGUGGGCACCGCUACCCCAACUCCUCCCUGUGGUCAUGCUGCGCGGGGGUCCUGUACUCAAGGCCUGAAACACAAACCACCAGCAAGAACAUGAUUCCAGGACCCAGGCUUCUACCACUGGGCGAUCUGAAGACUGAAGUCCUGUGUUACACCGAAGUUCUGCUGGGGACAGUGGAGAGUGUGUCCAUGAAGACGAAUGAGCGGUCCAUCGUGAUGGUGAACGCCAUGUACAUGCUGGCCUCGCGUGGCCAUGUCAACCCCCUGCCUUCCCCUCACUACGUCACAUUACCCGACCACUGCAGCUCCCCUGUAGUGGAGCCGGGCAACACUUACAUCUUGAUGAAAAUACCUUUCUCAGACACCAUAAGAUUCAUCUCUGAUCUCAGCGAUCAUUCCUCCCCUGUCCAUUCCAUCCUUUCCAGGUGCUGAACCUUUUUCUUGCCCAGAGUAAAGCCCUACAUAACGUUUGAAAGCUUUACAGUGUUUGUUUACAGUUACAUUGUUAACAAUCAAUGGCGUAAUAAAAAGCUUAUCUUGGGUUCUGAUGGGGUUCGACAGUUGAACUAAGAUCAUAAGGCACAAGUUAUAUUCUUCCAGAGUCAAUUGGUAUAUAUCGUUCAUUUAAAAGUCAAAAAAUUGCUGUUGCUAUCACAGAUUGCCUCUUUAAGCUAUCAGUAGACAUUUAAACCAUGUUUGUGAAGUGAUUGUAUCACAUUGUGCAAGGACAGGAUAAAAAGCCUAUUUUAACCAAGCAUUUGUGUGUAGGUGUAUGACUUCACCAUUCAUCAAUUCAUGUGGUUGUGUGGGGGUUUGUGGUUUUGUGGUUGCCUUUAUCCCAUCCACAUAUAUGUACCACAUUAUCUGACACUUGAUCACAGGAUCACAUUUUUGUUUUAUUAUUUCACUGCCAAUCUGUGUUUGAUCUUGUCUAGCCAUCUUGUAUCAAGAGGACCACAAAAGUCCUAGACUUUAUUGUGUGUUAUCCUCCAUGAUUAUAUUCAUGUGCAUCUAUGACUUUUAAGUUUUAUGUGUGCUUGUUUUUUUAAAUGGUCGAAUUAAUAAACUAAACUAAAUAAAGGGCACCUAGGGCACUGAGUCUUUGGCUGCGUUUAUGAGCAAAGUGAAAUUAUGAAUAAAAUAUUGUAAAACUGAUAUAUACUGAACAGAAAUAUAAACACAACAUGUAAAGUGUUGGUCCCAUGCCUUAUGAGCUGAAAUAAAAAAUCCCAGAAAUGUUUCCAUAUGCACAAAAAGCUUAUUUCUCUCUAAUGUUGUGCACAACUUUUGUUUACAUCUCCUGUUAAUAAUCACUUCUCAUUUGCCAAGAUAAUCCAUCCACCUGACAAGUGUGGCACAUCAAGAAGCUGAUUAUACAAUAUGAUCAUUACACAGAUGCACCUUGUGCUGGGGACAAUAAAAGGACACUCUAAAAUGUGCAGUUUUGUCACACAACACAAUGCCACAGACGUCUCAACUUUUGAGGGAUGCGCAAUUGGCAUGGU